Molecule: long non-coding RNA, 1905 nt
Organism: Lepus europaeus (European hare)
Lineage: Eukaryota; Metazoa; Chordata; Mammalia; Lagomorpha; Leporidae
Exons: 3
Source: RefSeq, a predicted model, not a curated record
GCCUGCCUUUGAGUCUCUUCCAAAAUGCAGGUGAUGGAGGCUGACUUCCUUGUUACAGCAAGCUCUGAACACAAUAGCUUUUCCCUGCUUGCAUUGGGUUGGUCUCCACUUCUCUCCACACUGCGUUUGCAAUGAAAGGAUGGGUGAUUCUGGAUUCUAGAAACCAGAUGUGCUCCACUGACUCAGGGCUCCAGAUGUAGCUGUUGCCAUCGCUGCCUCGUUCCUGUAUCACCGACCUUGAAUCAGAGCUUAGUUGUGAAACACAAGGAUUGGGACAGGUGAUUCUGGAUUCUAGAAACCGGAUGUGCAACCAACAUUGGAUUCGGACUUUGAGUGGCUUGAAGAAAGUUCUGGAGAAAAGCCUUGAACUCUGUUCACACCUGGGGCUCAGACAUUCAUAAACGUUGACGAUGGACCACUGCAUAGAGAAGCUGGAUUGCAAGGGGGUUGAUGGCAGCCCAUGCCCCUCCAAGACUCACCUUGAGAAGGGAAGGAGUCUGGCAUGGCAGGCUGGGCUUGGCACCACCGUUGAGAGUGGUGAAAUCAGGUCUCACACCACCAGAAGCACUCCCAAACCACCCACUCUGGAGAUACGUGGGCAUCCUAGGGCAUGUGUACAUUGAGAAUGCUGCUGACCUGAACCCUAGAAAGCUCUGGGUCCACACAGCCUACUGGGGGAAUGUGACCGUGGCAGUUCUUGGCAGGAGCCAAUUGGCACCGAGAAGCAGGAGAGGAUGGCCCCAUCCUCAGUGGCUGCAUGGGGCAGCAGGCAGAGGUUGUACUGGCUGCCCUGUCCAGUCCUGGAGGCCAGAGUGCUCAGGAACUUAAGAGAAAGACGCCACUGGGAAAGUUCACAAUACUACAGGGAGAGAAAUCCUGCUAGAGCCUGCUGCGUCUCCAUGGCAGCUGGGACCACAGAACCCCAAACCUUCCAGCUCUAAGUUUUUAGUCAUAGGCUACAGAAACAUGGGCAUUGAGGUUACGCCUCAAAACUGUUUUUUAAAAAUAUUUUGUGCUGGGCAAACAGAAUUCGCUCAACCAGAAUGAAGCAAGAGCCACUUUCUGGAGGGGCCAGCUCUCUACCGUGGGAGGACGGAAGGUGACUUUGCAAGGCAGGAAAUACUCCUGUGAUGAAAAAGAUGCACUCUGUGAAAUCAUGAGUCACGGCUUUUCCCAAGAGGAUAUUUUUCAGAAAUUAAAGGCAGGGACUGAAUGGGGAGAGCCUCACCCACCCUUGCUGGAAGCGGCUUCUGGGCUUCCGCAUUCCUUUGACUUUUGGUGAUUCCCUGGGUCUGAUCCCCGAGCCCCGGGCAAAGGCUGCAGACGAGGAGCCAAAAGAAAAAGCGGAUUUGGUGGAAGCACCAGGUCGUCUAUCUUUCCUUGCAAGCAUCUCUGUAAGUCUUCGCAGGAACACAGUCCUGUUUCUCGGGCAAGCUCAGAUCUGCCACGCCUUCGCUUGCUUUCCCAGCCAGUUUUAGAAUCCAUGUAGGAGGUGUGAGAGUGAGUGGUAUGAGUGUGUGUGAUGUGAAUGUGUGUGGUGCGGGUGUGUGGUGUGAGUACUGUGUGUGUAGGUGGUAUGGACGUGUCUGCUGUAUGUGGUGUGUGUGUGGUGUAGGUGUGUAUGUAGUGUGCAUGGUAUGGGUGUGUGUGGUGUGAGUGUAUGUGGUGUGUGUGUGCGUGUGUGCUGUAAACGUGUAUGUUGUAAGUGGUGUGUGUGUGUGGUAUAGGAGUAUAUGUGGUGUGUGCGUGGUAUAGGUAUGUAUGUAGUGUGAGUGUGCACGGUGUGUGUGAUAUGAGUGGUGUGUGUGUAUGUAGUGUAGACGUGUAUGUUGUAUGUGGGGUGUGUGUGGUAUAGGUGUGUAUGUAGUGUGGGUAUGCAUGGUGUGUGUGUGUGUGUGAGUGGUG